RNAcentral lists this ribosomal RNA (405 nucleotides) under Burkholderia sp. LGI-P2C. RNAcentral describes it as "bacterial SSU rRNA". It matches the Rfam family "Bacterial small subunit ribosomal RNA", at positions 990 to 1392 of the family's 1533-position model. The record is from RNAcentral. Lineage: Bacteria; Pseudomonadati; Pseudomonadota; Betaproteobacteria; Burkholderiales; Burkholderiaceae.
UCGCGAAUCUGCUGCACAGGUGGUAAUGCUCUGUAAAGAGAACCGGCGCACAGGUGCUUNCAUGGCUGUCGUCAGCUCGAUGUCGUGAGAUGUUGGGUUAAGUCCCGCAAGANUNUGCAACCCUUGUUCCUUAGUUGCUACGCAAGAGCACUCUAAGGAGACUGCCGGUGACAAACCGGAGGAAGGUGGGGAUGACGUCAAGUCCUCAUGGCCCUUAUGGGUAGGGCUUCACACGUCAUACAAUGGUCGGAACAGAGGGUUGCCAACCCGCGAGGGGGAGCUAAUCCCAGAAAACCGAUCGUAGUCCGGAUUGCACUCUGCAACUCGAGUGCAUGAAGCUGGAAUCGCUAGUAAUCGCGGAUCAGCAUGCCGCGGUGAAUACGUUCCCGGGUCUUGUACACCCCG